CCUACGGUGGGCAGCAGUAGGGAAUUUUCGUCAAUGGGCGCAAGCCUGAACGAGCAAUGCCGCGUGAACGAGGAAGGUCUUCGGAUCGUAAAGUUCUGUUGAAGGGGAAAAAGAGCGGAGAGAGGAAAUGCUUUCUGAUUGAUAUUACCCUUCGAGGAAGUCACGGCUAACUACGUGCCAGCAGCCGCGGUAAUACGUAGGUGGCGAGCGUUAUCCGGAAUGAUUGGGCGUAAAGGGUGCGUAGGCGGCCUGCUAAGUCUGGAGUGAAAGGUACCGGCUCAACCGGUACAGGCUCUGGAAACUGGCGGGCUAGAGAGCAGGAGAGGGCGGUGGAACUCCAUGUGUAGCGGUAAAAUGCGUAGAUAUAUGGAAGAAUACCGUUAGCGAAGGCGGCAAUCUGGCUGGAAACUGACGCUGAGGUGCGAAAGCGUGGGUAGCAAACAGGAUUAGAUACCCCAGUAGUC
This 464-nucleotide ribosomal RNA is filed under the name uncultured bacterium. RNAcentral describes it as "partial 16S ribosomal RNA". It matches the Rfam family "Bacterial small subunit ribosomal RNA", at positions 338 to 795 of the family's 1533-position model. The record is from RNAcentral.